CCUUUACAGAGAGAUUGGGUAGCAGUGGAUGCCAGGAGAUGGGUGAUGUGGUCUGACCUCGGGGCCCCUUCCCACUGUGAGAAUGAGGAAGGGAAAAGGGAUGCAGUGUUUGCAGAAGAGACACUGGGACAACCAAGUGGUUGUGGGAUUAUGGAACCAGGCCCUGAGGGAUGAUGUAGAGAGGCCCUACUUCCUCAGUGUAAGAUGGGGCCUGAGGUCCAGAGGGGGAAAGUAAUUUGCCUUUGGCCACGGAGACUUGACCUUGAGCCCUACAGGCAUCUUAGGGGCUUAGACAGAAAAAGGUAGAAGGCCAUGGCUGGAAAGGAUUGAGUGGCUGUGUGAGUGGGCAGGAUUGAGGUGGCCAGGGAGACAAUGGUUCAGUGCAUAGAUGUGGUGCCCUGUCCACUGUCACCAUCUAGUGGGACGGGGGUGCGGGUGUUAAAUCAGUGGGAGGAGCAGAGCAGCACUUGCCCACUGGGGGCUGCAGCUGUGGGGGUCAGUGUCCAGCCCUCCGCAGCAUCUGGGAAGAGUCAGAGAGGCACUGUGGCAAGGAACAGAAGGCAAACAGGGAACUGAAGUGGUGGCCCAGCAGAGCAAAUGGGAAAACUGGGCACAGGAAGUCCAUCUCGGGCUUUACCUGAUGGACACUGGGCCGCAGAAUCCUAGGUGUGUGGUGGGGAGGGUACAGUGACAGGUUAUCCCAUCCAGCUGCCCUCUAAGUCAGGCUGGCCUCAUCUCUGAGACACUCACCAGACCCCAGAGCAGUCCUUGCUGUGCCUGAAACAAUCUUUGAGGAACACAUUCUCUCUCCGUUGACCCCAGCUUGCUCGUUCUGGAUCCCUCCCUCUGGUCCCCAGCUCCUGAUUCCCCACUGCAGCUGGGGUACACCUCUGCCGCUCCUGGAUUUGGUGUUUGUUCAGACCUGUGGACUUCUCCCUCCCUGGUCGCUGUCGUUGUCUUGGGUAGGGAUUGCUGUGAAGGUCCCUCAGCUGUGCCUCGCUGGGGCCACCCUGGCUCUGCCUCGAGGGAAGGAAGCUCAGUGGAGGCUGUUAUAGAUGUCUGGUCCUGCCCAAAUUGGGGGGUGCAGGGUUGGGAGGAGCUGACCCUCAAGCAGUUCAUUUGAGAUGCCCUGGGCUGGGUCUGAGGGGCCGUGGCCCAGCCUGUUGCAGGAGCUGAGGGAGGAAGAUGAGUUCACUGCCAGGAAGUGGAACUGGUUUGGAAGCUGGGAGGGAGAUGGCUAGGGGGGUUGAUUAGGGGGAGGGAGUGGCCUGAGUGGCAAGCAGGCCAGGGUCAGUGUGGUGGAGGUCCAGAGAGCCAAGUGGGGUCUGAGAGAGCAGAGCUGGGUAGCUGAGGAUCCGUAUACAAACGCUGGUCUUCCCGGCUUGCUCCUUUGCAGACGCAAGUGAUGCGCCCAAGUCCUAUUUGCUGACCAUCCGUAAACACCCCUCCACUGAGAGGAAAUGUUAGUCCAGAUCCUCUGAGAAGGAGAUGCCAUGCCAAGACAAGGUUGGAUGUUCAAGAGAUUUCUUGGGAAAACACUUGUGAAGCGUAAGGGAGAGCCUGCAGACAGGAAGCAGGUCUGUCACCUGGGAAAGCAGAAAGGGAAGGAAGGAGGCGUGGGCAAGGAGGUCUCAGACCGAAGCUCACUGCUCAGAGAGCUUUGCUCCGGCUGAUGUAGUGCUUCUGGAGCCAAGUCACCCGUCGGAGGAGCCUGCAUCUGGUAGAGCAGCCUGAGCAGACGCCCAGUGAUCCCUUCGUUGUGCGGGCCGAGUUGAGGUUGGCCUCUUGCUCUACCCCGUUACCACCUUUAGGGUCCCGGACCACUCUUGUGCCUGCUGCCAACUUUACUGUAUUGGUUAGGAUACUGCUUUCUCCUGUGACAACAAAACCCCCUGAACUUCAGAGGCUCAAGCUAACAUCUGGGACCGUGGAGUCCUCUGCAUGGAGUCAGAAGACAGGCAAAGGAGACAGUGGAGAAGACACACCCGAUUCUUUCCUGCCUCU
This is a long non-coding RNA of Equus caballus (horse), 2004 nucleotides long. The record is from Ensembl. NCBI's taxonomy places the organism in Eukaryota, Metazoa, Chordata, Mammalia, Perissodactyla, Equidae.